AGACAAAAAAAAUGAAGCUCUCAGGAGACACAUAUGUUACACACAACUGGCAGUAGCAGAGAUGUGAUCCAAACCCAGGCUGCUGAGUAUUGUGAAAAGAGAUCUGAGCUUGGAAGAUUGGACACGGAUUCCAGUAGUGAUGCCCAACCAAGUGGAGAGAUUCCUCUGAGACUCAGUUUUAUCAGACAAAAGCCAGAAAUUUUACUUGGUCUGUUUGCUUUAGAAGAAUCCCGAAGCAUCAAGUAAAAUAAUUAAUGUGAAUAUAAUUUUAAAAAUAUGAAGUUUUAGGAAAAUAAAUGUCACUCAUAAUCA
Neofelis nebulosa (Clouded leopard) is the source of this 312-nucleotide long non-coding RNA. RefSeq lists it as uncharacterized. NCBI's taxonomy places the organism in Eukaryota, Metazoa, Chordata, Mammalia, Carnivora, Felidae. The record is from RefSeq and is a predicted model, not a curated record. The transcript is spliced from 2 exons.